Molecule: ribosomal RNA, 607 nt
Filed under: Halomonas sp. 41P
Lineage: Bacteria; Pseudomonadati; Pseudomonadota; Gammaproteobacteria; Oceanospirillales; Halomonadaceae
Description: bacterial SSU rRNA
Rfam family: Bacterial small subunit ribosomal RNA
Source: RNAcentral
AACCCAGGCUAAUACCGCAUACGUCCUACGGGAGAAAGGGGGCUUCGGCUCCCGCUAUCGGAUGAGCCUAUGUCGGAUUAGCUAGUUGGUGAGGUAAAGGCUCACCAAGGCAACGAUCCGUAGCUGGUCUGAGAGGAUGAUCAGCCACAUCGGGACUGAGACACGGCCCGAACUCCUACGGGAGGCAGCAGUGGGGAAUAUUGGACAAUGGGGGCAACCCUGAUCCAGCCAUGCCGCGUGUGUGAAGAAGGCCCUCGGGUUGUAAAGCACUUUCAGCGAGGAAGAACGCCUAGCAAAUAAUACCCGCUAGGAAAGACAUCACUCGCAGAAGAAGCACCGGCUAACUCCGUGCCAGCAGCCGCGGUAAUACGGAGGGUGCAAGCGUUAAUCGGAAUUACUGGGCGUAAAGNNNNGCGUAGGUGGCUUGAUAAGCCGGUUGUGAAAGCCCCGGGCUCAACCUGGGAACGGCAUCCGGAACUGUCAAGCUAGAGUGCAGGAGAGGAAGGUAGAAUUCCCGGUGUAGCGGUGAAAUGCGAAGAGAUCGGGAGGAAUACCAGUGGCGAAGGCGGCCUUCUGGACUGACACUGACACUGAGGUGCGAAAGCGU